RNAcentral lists this ribosomal RNA (210 nucleotides) under uncultured bacterium. RNAcentral describes it as "partial 16S ribosomal RNA". It matches the Rfam family "Bacterial small subunit ribosomal RNA", at positions 154 to 353 of the family's 1533-position model. The record is from RNAcentral.
AAACGGGAAUGCUAAAACCGGAAUAGGUAGCAGACAAGCAUUUGACUGCUAUUAAAGUAGGCUAAGGCCAUGAACAUGGAUGGACCUGCGGUGCAUUAGCUAGUUGGUGAGGUAACGGCCCACCAAGGCGACGAUGCAUAGCCGGCCUGAGAGGGCGGACGGCCACAUUGGGACUGAGACACGGCCCAAACUCCUACGGGAGGCAGCAUG